Molecule: ribosomal RNA, 253 nt
Filed under: uncultured bacterium
Lineage: Bacteria
Description: partial 16S ribosomal RNA
Rfam family: Bacterial small subunit ribosomal RNA
Source: RNAcentral
UACGGGGGGGGCAAGCGUUGUUCGGAAUUACUGGGCGUAAAGGGCUCGUAGGUUGCCAACUAAGUCAGACGUGAAAUCCCUCAGCUUAACUGGGGAACUGCGUCUGAUACUGGAUGGCUUGAGUUUGGGAGAGGGAUGCGGAAUUCCAGGUGUAGCGGUGAAAUGCGUAGAUAUCUGGAGGAACACCGGUGGCGAAGGCGGCAUCCUGGGCCAACACUGACACUGAGGAGCGAAAGCCAGGGGAGCAAACGGG